Phyllopteryx taeniolatus (common seadragon) is the source of this 3669-nucleotide long non-coding RNA. RefSeq lists it as uncharacterized. The record is from RefSeq and is a predicted model, not a curated record. The transcript is spliced from 9 exons. Lineage: Eukaryota; Metazoa; Chordata; Actinopteri; Syngnathiformes; Syngnathidae.
GCUUGCUCGCUGUGGUGGGAGUCAUAGAUCAAAUUCUGCUUCAGGCCCUAAAGCUAGGGCCAGCACUCUGUGUGCGUGCCGAAGUCAAUGUGCUGCAUGAUCAGGUCAAAUCAAUAAUGCAAACGUCAGUAUUGGGUUUAAUAUUCUCAUCAAUAAUAAAUCAAUACACGUGCACGCAAAGUGACAAAUUGGUCAUCUCCAACAGAUCACUUCUUGUUAAAUAGUAAUAAGUGACAUUUGAACUUCCUAUUUAGCAGGUGGGGGAGGAAAGCAAGACAGGAAGAUACACACUUGCCGCUUCAAAGCCCGCACCGAAAUGAGGUUUUUGUACGUUAGCGAAGUCAGAGUACGCAACAAUAUAACAUUGACGUAUCGCAUUGUUUCCUUGUUGCGCUAAGGCUCGUUUCACUAUUGUGCUAAUGUCGCUAAAGCUAAGUGACAGGGUCACCUCCUAAUUCACAGAAACACUCAAAUUUAGUUGCCAAACACAGCGUGAGAAACUUUAUUUCUUACAAUUCCCAAUGGAUGUACCUUCCGAAUAAGCAAAUGAAAGAGGGAGGUGGCUGGCAAAGUCGAAGGCUGCAGUGAAAAUUGAGUAACAUUGUCCAGGUUAGGAUUUGGGGCCCAGUUAAUAUGGUUCUCUCCAUACAAGGGGGAAUGUUUAUGACACAAAUAGAGAGUGGCUGGAUCCAAGAGCAGUCGGAGGCAGAUGUGAAAGAAUGGAUAGUUUAUUGAUGAAAGGUAACGGCGGUGGGGAGGACAGGCGGCUGGCUUGGCGGCAGAAAUAACGUGGAUCAGAAACACGGGGAACAAAAACACUGGAACCAGGAGACAGGAAUCAAAAAGGGAACGAUGAAUAGGGUGACUUACGGGAGGUAAAUGGGCCGUGGUACCACUGAAAGUAACUGCAAUACUUCGGCGAGGAUUUCCUGGAACAGGCAGGUUUAUAUACCGGUGGUGAUAAAGCUGAUUGGAGACAGGUGCUGAAAACAGAGAAAGGAGGGGGGAGAGAGAGAACGCAAAGCGCCCUCUCGGCUACAAUAAUGGAACUGCAGGCAGUAUAUGACAGUUUAGCUGAAAAGGGAAAUGUUUGUUUGGGUGUGUCCAGAGGUGUGCGACAUCACGAGACAACUAUCAAGGGGAUGGAAAUUUGCCAUACAGACAUCAAUGAUUGUCAUGUCGCGCUAUUACACAAUAGAAAAUGUAAAUAUGCCGCCCCGUACCGCCGCACAUAUCGCACAUGCCAGAAACCACAACUGACUUAAACCGUAAUGACCGUGUGACAAAGCUACAGAUGAGCGUCGCACGAAGACUGCAAAUGAGGGGAACAGCAUGUCGCUUAUUGUGUCAUCAGGUGAUCUCGGUAGGAUGUCAUUGAUUCGAGCGGUAUAACAGCCCCGCUGUUCAUACUCUUUUCUUACCUCUUGACACAGUCAUGUAGCGUGGACACCUGGCAACACCGAGAUGACAGCUGGAACAACCCUCGGAUGAAAGCUGGUCUCAAGUCUCAAGUAGGAAGUACUGCGUCCCGCUGACUGUUGACAGCCGCAUCGCCUCGCCUCCUGAUCUGGGACGUCCUGCCUCCCCAGGCACAUGAGCCUGGGGGGGGGGGGGGGUUAUGCACGGCUGCCCGCGCACAAAUGCGCCGCAACAUACGACACCGCCGCCAGACACGCUGAGGUGGCCUGUCGAUGACAACUUCAGCCUCCGCUUGCUGCAAAAAGUUGGAGAGGCACUGGCUUGGAACAAGAAUGAAGGUGGAGCUCAGCCGCACCGUUGCAGUUGACGGCACACCGGGUUGAUUUGGGGACGUCCGGUUGUGAUGGUACAGCGCCGUUGGGGUUGAGGUGUCCAUGGGGGGGGUCCCCAACGUAGAGAGAGCAUCUGGAGCAAACAUGAAGGAGAAGGACCAUGGGCGGAUCUUUCUAGGUUCCUUCCCUCACCUAUGGUCCCAAGCCGUGGGUCAUGACCAAAAGAACAAGAUCGUGGAUACAAUCUGCAGCGAUGCUAUGCUCCAAGGCGAUGCCGGCCAGCUCCUUCAGGAAUUCUGCGUAUAGGACAAUGGCGAACACUCUGCUCUUAUCUUGGGGCGGGAUGGCGGGACAGGCCGGCAGGUGGCCGAGGUGGGGUGCUGCAAGAGAGUUCCUCACGGAGCCGUUGGGAAGAGGGCGGUCCGGAUCUUCGCUGCACCGAGACUGAAGGCUUUCUGGAACACACACGCGCACACGCACACACACAUACACGUGCUGGGCCUCAAUGCAUGUUAUCACUUAAUACAGGUUCAGUAUUCCUUUUUCGACAAGUGGCCAGUGGAGGAAUAACACUCACGAACCUCUGAUCUUGCUGUCCUGGUCUUUUGCCAACAAGAACCUCCACGCCUGUGUGACCAAGGCGGGGUACUCCGGUCGGGCUCGGAUGUAGCUCUCGAUUUGGCCGUGAAGUGACACCAGCACCUUGGCAUAAACGCACACAUCGUCUGGAGAGACGCCUUAAGACAGUGCUUCUCAAACUAGGGUGUGGGGAGCACCUGGCUUCCGCCAGCCGUUAAUUUGGGCGUCCGCUUUUCCGUUCGGAAAAGCCAGCGAUGAUUGGAACGCUCUCAGCAAAGGUUGCGGGUACGACGCCAGCUGAGCCAGGAUGCCGGUCACUAGCAGGUUGACAGCGAUGGAGUUGUCCAGAAGGUUCUCCAGCCGGGACAGCAGAACACUGAUAAAGGGCCCUGGGGCAUUAUGGGUAAAGCGGAUGCGCUCCGAGGCUCCGUAUGCGUUCGGCAGGUGGACGGGGCACCAGGAGGGCAGGAGGCGCAGGAAGGAGGCGGCGCUUGAGGAGCACCAGGCCUUGUGCGUUAAGGAGGACCGCUGCUUCCUGCUCAGUAUUACGCCUUUUAUUCAGGAAAAUAACACAAGCGCGGAGGUAUCUGAGCUAGGCUACCGGCUAAACCACACAAGCCAGCUAUUCCCUCCAUCGUGUUAGCCAACGUACGCUCUCUGGACAACAAGCUGGCUCGCAUGCUACCGAACGGACAAAAUUCUCGCGGGAACUGAGACUCGAGGCGGCGGACUGUGCGUUUACAUGACGCCUGGUGCCGGGACGCUAUCUUGUAUAAUACAGACACAGAUAUACCGGACAUUUUCAUCAGGCUGACCUGAAGACGAGCUGCAGCAUGACGUCCUCGCAGAAGAGACCGAUGAGUGUCCUGAACAGAGCCAGCGACACCGUGCCCAGCUGAGGAGCACCAAGACCAGGUCAUCGAUCCGGAUCUGCUUUCAGCAGCAUGCCGGGCGCGUUACCUGGAAGGGUGUGUUGAUUCUGCUGACCAGAGUGUCCAGGAUGUGCACAUUGUCGUGGGUGUGCAGCAGGGUGAAGGACAGGAAGGUCUGUAGGAGCGCAGGCUCAGAGAUGGUGCGCAGGAACAGGUCCAGGGCAGGAGCCAACACGGGCACCAAGAAGCCAUUGUGGAUGUAGCUCAGCAGCUGGGAGCGGAUGGAAGGAUGAGUCACCUGUGAAGAGGCUAGGAUUACAAGGAUAAAAAACAAUGUUGUUGUUUUAAGACUACAAUUGUUUGCAUUACGCUGGUGACGGCGCUGCAGAAGCCAAGCGAGUGCAAAAAGUGGACAAGAGCAGGAACCUGUUGAAACAUCAGAAUCUUUGUGUCAUUUGCUCGCCCCU